GCAAUAAUUUCUCAUGAUGGGGGCCAUGAAUAAUGGUGUAAGCCUCAGCUUUUGUUGUUUGAAUGAAGAAUCUGGUGAUGGGCCGGGGGGCACUAUUAUUCUGGAAAACAUAGCAAGCCACCGCGGGUCUAUGGCCCUCUAUUUGUAGUUUCUACCUUACUCUCCCCCUCUUCAAAGCAAUUCCUCCACCAGACAUGUGCUUUAUCGUCUGCUAUUAUAUAUUUUCAAGCCAGCUCUUGUGC
This 242-nucleotide unclassified non-coding RNA is filed under the name Hevea brasiliensis (rubber tree). Lineage: Eukaryota; Viridiplantae; Streptophyta; Magnoliopsida; Malpighiales; Euphorbiaceae. The record is from RNAcentral.